CAGUAUACAAACUGUUCGAGCACAAAGAAAAAUUCAAGUACCAAAGAGAAAAGCCAAUAACAUUACAUGGAAUAGAGUGGAGUGUCCUCGACAGCGUAAUAAUAUAGAUUGUGGAUAUUACACGUUGAGGUUUAUGAAAGAAACUCUUCUUAUGGAUCGAACAGAUAUUCCAUCUGAUUACUUUGAUGAAUAUAGAUGUGCUUAUUACUCAAAAGAUCAGUUGGAUGAAAUUAAAGAGGAAUUGUGUCAAUUCAUUAUCGAGCUACAGGCUUUGUGAG
Molecule: long non-coding RNA, 278 nt
Organism: Lathyrus oleraceus (garden pea)
Lineage: Eukaryota; Viridiplantae; Streptophyta; Magnoliopsida; Fabales; Fabaceae
Exons: 3
Source: RefSeq, a predicted model, not a curated record